GCUCAACCGGGGAGGGUCAUUGGAAACUGGGGAACUUGAGUGCAGAAGAGGAGAGUGGAAUUCCACGUGUAGCGGUGAAAUGCGUAGAGAUGUGGAGGAACACCAGUGGCGAAGGCGACUCUCUGGUCUGUAACUGACGCUGAGGCGCGAAAGCGUGGGGAGCGAACAGGAUUAGAUACCCUGGUAGUCCACGCCGUAAACGAUGAGUGCUAAGUGUUAGAGGGUUUCCGCCCUUUAGUGCUGCAGCAAACGCAUUAAGCACUCCGCCUGGGGAGUACGGUCGCAAGACUGAAACUCAAAGGAAUUGACGGGGGCCCGCACAAGCGGUGGAGCAUGUGGUUUAAUUCGAAGCAACGCGAAGAACCUUACCAGGUCUUGACAUCCUCUGACAACCCUAGAGAUAGGGCUUCCCCUUCGGUGGCAGAGUGACAGGUGGUGCAUGGUUGUCGUCAGCUCGUGUCGUGAGAUGUUGGGUUAAGUCCCGCAACGAGCGCAACCCUUGAUCUUAGUUGCCAGCAUUCAGUUGGGCACUCUAAGGUGACUGCCGGUGACAAACCGGAGGAAGGUGGGGAUGACGUCAAAUCAUCAUGCCCCUUAUGACCUGGGCUACACACGUGCUACAAUGGGCAGAACAAAG
This 637-nucleotide ribosomal RNA is filed under the name uncultured bacterium. RNAcentral's name for it is "bacterial SSU rRNA". It matches the Rfam family "Bacterial small subunit ribosomal RNA", at positions 607 to 1244 of the family's 1533-position model. The record is from RNAcentral.